GAAGUUAAAGAAACCCUUCACUCCUUCUCCCUACAGGCAGAUACCUGUGAUGCGAAUUAAAAUAUAUGACAGACUUCUGUCUACACAUACUGUUUUCCACUACCCAAAUAAUAACCAGCUCGUCUGCACGACUGAAGCAUAGUUUAAAAACACCAGUUACAUCUGAACUGUUUGUGCCCAAAGUUAGGAUUUUCCCCUCCCUCCCCCCAGCUCUUUAAUUUAAUCAGUUAAGAGGACUAAAGCCAAGGAAGUGGCACGUGCAAUGUUUUGUUUGGCUUUUUAAGACGCUGUGCAGAACUACCUGUACCUGAAAGAAAAAGAGGAUGCCAAAGUGGUGGCGAUACUUUCUCGAGCAGAUUUGAUCAUUGGAGGUAAACAUGGAGUUAACUGGAUCUGAAUAACAGAGGUGGGUAACACUAUAUUGAACUAAGAUUAUAGCUAUUAACAUUUGCCAGAUGUUUUCAUUUCGGGCAGGUUUUCUAGCAAAGGCAGGUACAGGUAUUGAGUUUAAGUAAGAUGGAGAUACUAUAAUGUUCAACUAUAGACACUUUGUGAAUACUCAAUAUCCAAGUCAUCAGCUCCCAGGAAGACAGCUGUCAGUAAAAUGUUGUGGAAAGAGAUAGAGAUUAAAAUCUGUGGGGAAAAUAUUGCAGGUGUUAUUUAUUUAUUAUUAUUAUUAUUAUUAAUAAUAAUUGUAAUAAUAAUUAUAAUAACCAUUAAAUAUAAAUAACAAUCUCCAGACAACUCAGAACAUCCGAUAUUCUCAGGAGUGACUGAAAGGUUUGUAUAUGUUUGGGAUGCUCAGAGUUCUACUCUGCUUUUCAGACAGAAUUAUUUUAUUUACUCAGACAAAAAACUCUAAUUAAAAUCAAAUGGACUUUUACCUUUAUUAUUAAUCAGCCUCACCAUCAUCAUAAGCUUAUUUUUUACGGCAGCUAAAGCUUUCAAAGUGGGCCCAUAUGGGCCAGAUCCUGGAAAUUCCACUGAAGUCAGGAUUUGGUUUGAAAAUACUAAGUGCAGGCCCACUCAGAGGAAUAUAUAAAAGCGAAUCCUUGAAAGCAACCCAAAUGGAAAAUCGAACUAGUUUUAAAAUUCCCAGGUUACAGUCUCUAUUUAAUAGUUUUUGAAUAAUUAGGUUAAUACAUAUCAACUAUAUACCUAUCUUUAUCUCUCUAUAUAUUUUGCAUGAAUAUAAGUACAGAUGUGGGGCCUGAUCCUCUGUCCACUGAUAUCAUGGACAUUUUGCCUGUGACAUCAAUGGGAGCAGGAUCUGGCCCUUUUAUCAUUUUGUAUGGGCAUGCAGAUGGCGUGAUGACAGUAUUUUUCACAUGUUGAUUCCAGCCUGGUAUUUCUAUAGUUCGAGUUAAAACUCUAGAUUUUUUUCAACAGGGUAUUUUGUACCGAACUCAGGGAUGUUGUAGGUAUUAAGGAAAGUAUAUAAAUGCCUUCUUGUCCUAAACGCAAUAAAAUUUAUAUUGGGUAGGUGCCAUAGAAAUCACCGUCAAAACGCCCAUAGAUUUCAGUGGCAUCAGGUUCGACCCGUUUUCCAAACAUUUAUGACUAAUGCACCAUACGAUCACACAGGAAAUCCAAUCUCUAUGUAGUUUUACCAUCGAAGGGUCUUCUCCUCUGUUUCCUCCGCACCCAUUGGGGUCAAUGGGAGCUACGGUUCAGAGAUGAAUUCCUGACGAGAAAAGGAAGAAACAUUCUUCACAGAAUAUCACGCCUAGCACAGACAAACGUAACAUUCUGCUACAUUCUGCUAGCCCUGAAUUGAUCCUGACAAAGAACCGAAAACAAACAAUGGCUUCUUAUGUUUUCUAAACAUUUUCAUUUUUAACAAAAAAAAUGUUUUUAAAACGUUUACUUUGUAUAAUACGCACCUACACCGUUCGUCCAAUAGUUUAGGUAAUAAAUAAGGUUGUUUUUAUGUAACCCUUUAAAAAGCAGUAUGUCUGUAUCAUUCACAAUACAGGCUCUCUAUAUAAUCCUGUUUCAAAUAUACAAACACACACGUUACGAGGUUGUGUGUGUUUGUGGAUCUACUUCUCAGAAGAAAUGCACUAUCAAAACAUUAAUUAUAUUUGAAAGGGAGACGAUUAUUUGUCUGAGAAAGAAUUACAUCCUUAAAUGUAUAUUCCGCACAGAUCUCGUCUCUUGUCUGCAACGAGGGUUGCAAUUGUAGAUCUGUCUCAAAUGCUGUACCCUAAAAUGCAGGAAGGUGUAUCACAUUACAGUUGUAGAGAAAAGGGAGAUAUUCCAUUUCUUUUACACACAUCUGUACGAUAGUCGUUAAGGGAAUGUUGAAAUCGACAUGCAGUUGAAACGGGAACAUGUUAAGAACAUACAUUCGUUUUAUUUACUACCGGAAACACGAUGAUUUUUAACAUAUAGACACAGGGAUGACCCCAGUUAGUUAUUAAACACUGUAAUUCACAGGGGUUUUGGCCUACAAGUCCUGUUUAUUUUUUUAAAUGCCAGACUUGACAUGCACAUAUUACUUUAGCUUGUAAUUAAAAUCUACCAACGGUGUGAAUCAUCAAUGAUACUUUUUAGAUUGUAGUUUAUUUACUGGGCUUUAAAUGAUUAAUAACCCGAUUAAACAGAUUUCCUCAUCUAGCUAAACUUGUGCUGCGAAUAAUAAUGAUGAUGACAACUCCUUUUGAAUACUAGCUGUAGCAGGGAAUCUUGAAAUCCAUUCAUCUGAGUAUAUUUUGUUCUGGUCUUUUUCAAGUACUGCUCCAUACUCCUGCUUUUUUAGUUCCUCCGCAACGCCAGGACUGGUAGUCACUGAUGAGAGCCCCUAAUUCAGAUUCAGUGUCUGGAUCCUUAUUUUCAUGUUUGGGGUGACGGGAGAAGGCGAUUUGUCCCUAAAAUGUACUAAGUAGUGAGGCCAUGGGAGACCUGCUUAGCAUCUGGGCCUCAGGAGAUGGGUACUUUACCCCUUCGGAGUGGUUCCCGGAUCAUCUUUCUUUGGCUACAGGAAAAUGCCAGGGGGGUUAGGGGGCUGAAGAGAGCUCGCCACAGGCGUGAGGCAGACGGAGCAGUGUAGAGUGCGUUAUUGUGUGUGGCUGUUUCUGGGCUGUGUUCUCUACCCCAGUAGGUAUCUUUGGAAGAAGAAGGUGACAUGAAGAGGCGCGUCUGACAGCCAAAGUGGGGGAACUGUCCGGGAGAAGGACACGUGAUGAAUUGAGAGCUGCGUGGUCACGGUGCAAAGGGAGAAUAGGACAGUGUGCUGGUACCAAAUGCCUUUUUCCCCCCUGCUUGAACAACACAAAAAAUGGGGGGAGGGGAAGAGAGAUGGGGGUUGGGAGGGAGAGAUCCGUGGAGUUAGUGGCUGUCUAGAGUGUAAACACGAACCCAUCAUCUUCUCGGGAGGAGGGGAGUCUGCUUUUGUCAAACCUGCUAGUGUCUGGAAGAUAAAGGCAAAGAGGCCACUGGACCAGCCUGAGAUUCUGCCUUGAAAUCUGGACCCGAAAUGAUUCAAAGGACAAAAAGGGGGAAAAUAAUCCUAAAAUCUCCCAGGCAGGCAGCUGUCCGGGGUUAAAACCGGUUAUUUGUUAAUUGCCUUGAUAUCGUAGAGAGGAAAGGCUGCCACAGAACGCGGGGGGGCGGGGGGAGGUUUCAAAUAAUAUCUGAUUCCUCUGGUAACUUGGUACAAGUCUCAAUUUAGCUGCAGCCCAGGCAGCUCUGGAGGUUUAGGGGAGAUGUAAAUGUUGUAACUUCUCGGAUUGCGUGUGACCCUGAGCGGUACUGCUAUGAUUUCAAUAAACACUUUACAAUCGA
Molecule: long non-coding RNA, 3786 nt
Organism: Chrysemys picta bellii (western painted turtle)
Lineage: Eukaryota; Metazoa; Chordata; Testudines; Emydidae
Source: RefSeq, a predicted model, not a curated record